GUCAGCACUCACUCUUCUACCCUUCCUCAGCUGAAUCACCACCGUCUUCCUCUUUACCUCAUUUUGCUCUCUCUUUGCCUGGUCCAGGAGCAUAGAGGCCAUCACCCUACCCUUUUGCCUCCAACUCUGGGAAAACAGAACAGUCUAAUCUCUCUUUCUCUGGUUAAACCUGCAUAAGUCUCAACUCUAAUACUUUAAGCAAGUCUGACAGUUGAUAAACUUCACCUUGACUCAUAAUCAUCCUGUCAAUCUCUCUCUUUAACAAACAUACAGAUCACUCAAUGUUCCAAGAUUCAUGUAAAAAGAAGUCUUUUGUUUUAAUCACUGAGAACUUCCGGAGAAAAGAAGAAAGUUCUUCAUGGAUCUGAUGCCUACAUGCUAUCUGCCUGGGUGCCACUGGAGCUCUGAAUUUUACAUACCAGGAGAAGAUUAGGACACCUAGAGAGACACUAGGGGUUCCUUUGCACAGAAGAAAGGCCACAUGAAGAUGGGGACACAGCAAGAAGGCAGCGGCAGCAAGCAAAGGAGAGAGGCCUCUGAGGAAACCAACCCUGCCAAACACCUGCUGCUUGGACUUCUAGCGUCCAGAACUGUGGACUCUUAUCAAUACCGAACAUUGAAAUCUGGAGGCUCGGCCAUCAGAACUCUUACACAGCACAGAAGACGAGUUUCACGGGUCACUCAGCAUCUACUGGAAGGAUGGAAAAAAUCAAGAAUUUGGCACCCUAAACACAACAUGAGAAGGUUUCACUCAGUAAUGGCCUCCUGAAAACAACUUAAUCUUCUUGGACAAGACUCUGAACUGAAAUCAAGGUUUCAAAAUAUUUUGUUGUGAGUGAUGAAGCUGUCUGGACCUAACUUUUCCGAGAGGCCAAGAAACCAUUCUGUAAUCCUGCAAAAUGGUUUCUGAAGAGUCUGGUGAAAUGCAACUGUUAUCCCUCACUUUGCAUUUUGCUCCAACGAUUCUGAGGUGCAACUUAUGGAUGAGACUGAUUUCUUUCCAUAUUGCUGUAGUAAAUUGGUUUUUGUUGUUUUCAUGGGCUUUGUAAAUCUUGCUGAUAAAAUCCAUAAGUGAUUUGCUAACAUAAAAGCUAACUGGAGAAACAUAAAAAAUAAUUCAAAAAUCAUUUCAUCUUAUCAACUGGAUUAAAAUUAAAAUUAUUAGAAAUACUAAUGAUAGUAUUUCUUUCCAGAGUGGUAAUGGAGUUUUUUUCCUUUUUAUUAAUAGCCCUUAAUGUAUCUUAUGGGAACAAUUAAUAGACAUUCUUCAAACUCCUUCAGAAAGCCCAAUGACAAGUGGCAUUUUUACCAGCGAGAUUCUCAGCGAAUAUAUAAUUCUUUGUCAAUAUUCAAAUUAAGGCAGAAACUCUAGAGUCUGAUCUGUAUCUAUUUCAUCUUUUAAAUGUGUUGAAAGGCCUCUGAGUGCAUCUUAAGCAGUUGGUAAAUAUUUUUCAGGUCAUCACAUACAGGAACUGGACCCCAGUUUUUCCUAAAAAAAUAUGUAUGUACAGAUGACAGAAAAAAAAUUGCCUUCAGAAAAUGGAACCCAUGUGCCAAGGCCUGGUCAGUAAAAAAAUCCCUAAUUUUUGCUUGUUUUAUAAUUUGUCUUAGGUUUUCUCUGACACUAGUGGAUUUCUUUUUUAAGGCAGUCAUAGUUCUAAUACUGUUCAGGCCUUGAAAAAUCCAAUCUAGGCUGGAUUAUGGUGGCUCACACUUGUAGUCCCAGCACUUUUGGAGCUCUGGGUA
This 1746-nucleotide long non-coding RNA is filed under the name Homo sapiens (human). RNAcentral describes it as "HSALNT0351321". Lineage: Eukaryota; Metazoa; Chordata; Mammalia; Primates; Hominidae. The record is from RNAcentral.